GAGGGUAUAGCUCUAGUGGUAGAGUGCAUGCCUAGUAUGCAGGAGGUCCUGGGUUCAACCCCAGUGCCUCUG
RNAcentral lists this transfer RNA (72 nucleotides) under Camelus bactrianus (Bactrian camel). It matches the Rfam family "tRNA". Rfam says of the family: Transfer RNA (tRNA) molecules are approximately 80 nucleotides in length. Their secondary structure includes four short double-helical elements and three loops (D, anti-codon, and T loops). Further hydrogen bonds mediate the characteristic L-shaped molecular structure. tRNAs have two regions of fundamental functional importance: the anti-codon, which is responsible for specific mRNA codon recognition, and the 3' end, to which the tRNAs corresponding amino acid is attached (by aminoacyl-tRNA synthetases). tRNAs cope with the degeneracy of the genetic code in two manners: having more than one tRNA (with a specific anti-codon) for a particular amino acid; and 'wobble' base-pairing, i.e. permitting non-standard base-pairing at the 3rd anti-codon position. RNAcentral also lists the same sequence under 2 other names. Lineage: Eukaryota; Metazoa; Chordata; Mammalia; Artiodactyla; Camelidae. The record is from Rfam by way of RNAcentral.